Molecule: ribosomal RNA, 140 nt
Filed under: uncultured bacterium
Lineage: Bacteria
Description: partial 16S rRNA
Rfam family: Bacterial small subunit ribosomal RNA
Source: RNAcentral
UGGGGAAUAUUGGGCAAUGGGCGCAAGCCUGACCCAGCGACGCCGCGUGAGGGAUGAAGGNCUUCGGAUUGUAAACCUCUUUCAGUAGGGAAGAAGCGAAAGUGACGGUACCUAAAGAAGAAGCACCGGCUAACUAUGUG